CCUGUUUAUCAAAAACAUAGCCUAAUGAAACCCGAUAUUAGGUUAUUCCUGCCCAGUGAUUUUUUAAACGGCCGCUUUUGUGCUAAGGUAGCAUAAUAAUUUGCCUUUUAAUUGGAGGCUAGAAUGAAUGGAUUUUUAGAUUAUAACUUUAUUUCUGUGACCCUAAAACUUAAGUUUUAUGUGCAAACACAUAAAUCACUUUAAAAGACCAAAAGACCCCGGGAGCUUUAAUUUUACUCUUAUCUUUAAGAAUUAAAUUUAUACUGGGAGAGUAGGGGGUAUACACCCCUGUCAUAAUAAUUUAUUUCUUUUAUACAAACAAUUUAGCUACCCCGGGGAUAACAGGCUACUCUUUUUUCAAAGUCCAAAUUUACAAAAAGAUCUAGCACCUCGAUGUUGGCUUAAGAGUAAAUAAAAUGUAGCAGUUUUAUUUAAUGGCUUGUUCCGCCAAUAGUUUCUU
Molecule: ribosomal RNA, 460 nt
Filed under: Ophryotrocha sp. n. 20 JP-2020
Lineage: Eukaryota; Metazoa; Annelida; Polychaeta; Eunicida; Dorvilleidae
Description: partial large subunit ribosomal RNA
Rfam family: Bacterial large subunit ribosomal RNA
Source: RNAcentral